RNAcentral lists this ribosomal RNA (432 nucleotides) under uncultured Bacteroides sp. Its description in RNAcentral is "bacterial SSU rRNA". It matches the Rfam family "Bacterial small subunit ribosomal RNA", at positions 958 to 1393 of the family's 1533-position model. The record is from RNAcentral. Lineage: Bacteria; Pseudomonadati; Bacteroidota; Bacteroidia; Bacteroidales; Bacteroidaceae.
AACGCGAAGAACCUUACCCGGGCUCGAACGGCGGGGGAAUGGACCAGAGAUGGUCCAGUCUUCGGACUCCUGUCGAGGUGCUGCAUGGUUGUCGUCAGCUCGUGCCGUGAGGUGUCGGCUUAAGUGCCAUAACGAGCGCAACCCUUGCUGUCAGUUACCACCAGGUUAAGCUGGGGACUCUGACAGGACUGCCGCCGUAAGGUGUGAGGAAGGUGGGAAUGACGUCAAAUCAGCACGGCCCUUACGUCCGGGGCGACACACGUGUUACAAUGGGCCAUACAGAGGGCAGCCAGGCGGCGACGCCGCGCAAAUCCCAAAAGUGGCUCUCAGUUCGGACUGGAGUCUGCAACUCGACUCCACGAAGUUGGAUUCGCUAGUAAUCGCGCAUCAGCCAUGGCGCGGUGAAUACGUUCCCGGGUCUUGUACACACGC